UACGUACACAUGCAAGUCGAACGGUGAACCAGAGCUUGCUCUGGGGAUCAGUGGCGAACGGGUGAGUAACACGUGGGCAACCUGCCCCAGACUCUGGGAUAACCUCGGGAAACCGAUGCUAAUACCGGAUACGACCACUUCGGACAUCCGACGGUGGUGGAAAGUUUUUCGGUCUGGGAUGGGCCCGCGGCCUAUCAGCUAGUUGGUGGGGUAAUGGCCUACCAAGGCGACGACGGGUAGCCGGCCUGAGAGGGCGACCGGCCACACUGGAACUGAGACACGGUCCAGACUCCUACGGGAGGCAGCAGUGGGGAAUAUUGCACAAUGGGCGAAAGCCUGAUGCAGCGACGCCGCGUGAGGGACGACGGCCUUCGGGUUGUAAACCUCUUUCAGCAGGGACGAAGCGAAAGUGACUGUACCUGCAGAAGAAGCACCGGCUAACUACGUG
This 448-nucleotide ribosomal RNA is filed under the name uncultured bacterium. RNAcentral's name for it is "bacterial SSU rRNA". It matches the Rfam family "Bacterial small subunit ribosomal RNA", at positions 47 to 507 of the family's 1533-position model. The record is from RNAcentral.